RNAcentral lists this non-coding RNA (90 nucleotides) under Micromonospora yangpuensis. RNAcentral describes it as "ZTP sequence". It matches the Rfam family "ZMP/ZTP riboswitch aptamer (pfl RNA motif)". Rfam says of the family: Previously known as pfl RNA. ZMP is also known as AICAR. Lineage: Bacteria; Bacillati; Actinomycetota; Actinomycetes; Micromonosporales; Micromonosporaceae. The record is from Rfam by way of RNAcentral.
CCGGUGGACCGUGACUGGCGCGUGAAGAUGGAGAACCAUCGGGGAGCGGUCCCGUCACACGGACGUACGCCGAGCGCCUGGGCCUUCUUC